This is a non-coding RNA of Momordica charantia (bitter melon), 744 nucleotides long. Lineage: Eukaryota; Viridiplantae; Streptophyta; Magnoliopsida; Cucurbitales; Cucurbitaceae. The record is from RefSeq and is a predicted model, not a curated record.
AAGAAUUAAUUAGUCUGAAGCUAUGUUUAGUUUAUGUUUAAAAUGUAGAGUUGGUUAAGUUAGAAGAAACUGCCUUUUGAAUGUGAGCCAUAGCCAUAGGCGUUUUUGUGAAAGAGAGUUACCAAAUUAGUCGGUUUCUGUUAUCCCCAUUUUAGGCUUCCUUUCCUUCCACCCCCAUGGCCCCCUCCUCUUCUCUCUCCCUCCUCUCUUUCUCUCUCUACGCCUUUCAUCUUCUCCGCAGCAAGCUUUGUUAAUGUAUUUUAAUGGCAUCGCAGGAUAAAGGCCGUCCCUUGCCGAAAUUCGGCGAGUGGGAUGUCAACAAUCCGGCCUCAGCCGAAGGCUUUACAGUAAUAUUUAGCAAAGCUAGAGAUGAGAAGAAGUCAAAUGAGGCACCUGGGAAUAAAGCAGCAAAAAACAAUACCAGACCAGAACAAGAUUAUGACUAUCCCCCAAUGAAAAAAUGGUUUUGCUGUUUCUGAAACUGCUAGGGAGUGGUGGUGGUGGUGGUGGCAUGGUGCAAGAAAACUUAAAGAUAAUUCUGAUAUAUGAGUGAGAUGCAGAAUCAAGUAGGGAUGUGCUGGUUUAAUUCCUCUCUCUCUCUCUCUUCUCUCUCUCUCUCUGUACCUCUUACUAUACAUGCAAUAUAGAAUACAAAAUUUUCAUGGAAAGCAUAUAGAAGUUGGGCGACCGUUCUAGCUCCCUCCCUGUAAGUUUCGCUCUAAUAGAAACUUUUUGCUUCUUUCA